GAUGAACGCUGGCGGCGUGCCUAAUACAUGCAAGUCGAGCGAACAGACGAGGAGCUUGCUCCUCUGACGUUAGCGGCGGACGGGUGAGUAACACGUGGAUAACCUACCUAUAAGACUGGGAUAACUUCGGGAAACCGGAGCUAAUACGGGCUAAUAUAUUGCACCGCAUGGUUCAAUAGUGAAAGACGGUUUUGCUGUCACUUAUAGAUGGAUCAGCGCCGCAUUAGCUAGUUGGUAAGGUAGCGGCUUACCAAGGCAACGAUGCGUAGCCGACCUGAGAGGGUGAUCGGCAGCACUAGUGCGGAGACGCGGUCCAGCAUCGUGCGGGAGGCAGCAGUAGGGAAUCUUCCGGAAGGGGCGGAAGCGUGACGGAGCAACGCCGCGUGAGUGAUGAGGAUCUUCGGAUCGUAAAACUCUGUUAUUAGGGAAGAACAAAUGUGUAAGUAACUAUGCACGUCUUGACGGUACCUAAUCAGAAAGCCACGGCUAACUACGUG
Molecule: ribosomal RNA, 497 nt
Filed under: uncultured bacterium
Lineage: Bacteria
Description: partial 16S ribosomal RNA
Rfam family: Bacterial small subunit ribosomal RNA
Source: RNAcentral